GAGUUUGAUCAUGGCUCAGAUUGAACGCUGGCGGCAGGCCUAACACAUGCAAGUCGAACGGUAACAGGAAGCAGCUUGCUGCUUCGCUGACGAGUGGCGGACGGGUGAGUAAUGUCUGGGAAGCUGCCUGAUGGAGGGGGAUAACUACUGGAAACGGUAGCUAAUACCGCAUAAUGUCGCAAGACCAAAGAGGGGGACCUUCGGGCCUCUUGCCAUCGGAUGUGCCCAGAUGGGAUUAGCUUGUUGGUGGGGUAACGGCUCACCAAGGCGACGAUCCCUAGCUGGUCUGAGAGGAUGACCAGCCACACUGGAACUGAGACACGGUCCAGACUCCUACGGGAGGCAGCAGUGGGGAAUAUUGCACAAUGGGCGCAAGCCUGAUGCAGCCAUGCCGCGUGUAUGAAGAAGGCCUUCGGGUUGUAAAGUACUUUCAGCGGGGAGGAAGGGAGUAAAGUUAAUACCUUUGCUCAUUGACGUUACCCGCAGAAGAAGCACCGGCUAACUCCGUGCCAGCAGCCGCGGUAAUACGGAGGGUGCAAGCGUUAAUCGGAAUUACUGGGCGUAAAGCGCACGCAGGCGGUUUGUUAAGUCAGAUGUGAAAUCCCCGGGCUCAACCUGGGAACUGCAUCUGAUACUGGCAAGCUUGAGUCUCGUAGAGGGGGGUAGAAUUCCAGGUGUAGCGGUGAAAUGCGUAGAGAUCUGGAGGAAUACCGGUGGCGAAGGCGGCCCCCUGGACGAAGACUGACGCUCAGGUGCGAAAGCGUGGGGAGCAAACAGGAUUAGAUACCCUGGUAGUCCACGCCGUAAACGAUGUCGACUUGGAGGUUGUGCCCUUGAGGCGUGGCUUCCGGAGCUAACGCGUUAAGUCGACCGCCUGGGGAGUACGGCCGCAAGGUUAAAACUCAAAUGAAUUGACGGGGGCCCGCACAAGCGGUGGAGCAUGUGGUUUAAUUCGAUGCAACGCGAAGAACCUUACCUGGUCUUGACAUCCACGGAAGUUUUCAGAGAUGAGAAUGUGCCUUCGGGAACCGUGAGACAGGUGCUGCAUGGCUGUCGUCAGCUCGUGUUGUGAAAAGUUGGGUUAAGUCCCGCAACGAGCGCAACCCUUAUCCUUUGUUGCCAGCGGUCCGGCCGGGAACUCAAAGGAGACUGCCAGUGAUAAACUGGAGGAAGGUGGGGAUGACGUCAAGUCAUCAUGGCCCUUACGACCAGGGCUACACACGUGCUACAAUGGCGCAUACAAAGAGAAGCGACCUCGCGAGAGCAAGCGGACCUCAUAAAGUGCGUCGUAGUCCGGAUUGGAGUCUGCAACUCGACUCCAUGAAGUCGGAAUCGCUAGUAAUCGUGGAUCAGAAUGCCACGGUGAAUACGUUCCCGGGCCUUGUACACACCGCCCGUCACACCAUGGGAGUGGGUUGCAAAAGAAGUAGGUAGCUUAACCUUCGGGAGGGCGCUUACCACUUUGUGAUUCAUGACUGGGGUGAAGUCGAAACAAGGUA
This 1499-nucleotide ribosomal RNA is filed under the name metagenome. RNAcentral's name for it is "bacterial SSU rRNA". It matches the Rfam family "Bacterial small subunit ribosomal RNA". The record is from RNAcentral.